RNAcentral lists this non-coding RNA (25 nucleotides) under Rattus norvegicus (Norway rat). Lineage: Eukaryota; Metazoa; Chordata; Mammalia; Rodentia; Muridae. The record is from RNAcentral.
UGGUGUCUCAAAAUCGUCCUUGAGG